CGCUCCCGUUCCCCGCGCUCGGCGGGCUGUGCCGCGGCCCAGGGGCUGCGGGGCGGGAGGCAGGGCCGGCUGCGGGGCGCUCACCUGCCCGCACGGCACGGCCCGGCCCCGCGGGUCAGAGCAGACAGGGCCUCAUCCAUUCCAGGAUGGGGCUGAGGGCCGGCCGUACGAGAUCUUUUCCUCUUGGAAAAGUGCAUAAAAUGUAAGAAAAUAGCCCCGAGUAGAAAAACGUCCGUCGCUCCCCGCAACAUCUCCCCGGGACACGCCGUCCAGGAGCGAUCAUAGUAUUGAUCUCUGAGCUAUCUCCAGAGCUGGCCACACUCCUUGUAGCGUCCAAAGAACAGAGACCUGACUGGCCGGACACACAUCUCUGCUGCAUUUUCAUAUUCUCCAAAAGUCCCCCAUUAAAAAGCUGAGCGGGGAACAAGGGUACAGUGCCACAUACUGUAGCAGAGACAAUCCCCAUCUGGAAUCCUGUCUCCGCGAGUCUCCUGGAAGGGCACAAAACAAAAGCCCGACACAACAACAACAACAACAACCACCACCAACCCUCCAAACUCCAGCUUUUCUUCCGGCGGGGAGAAAACCGCGUGAAAAACGCCCUCACAGCGGGCCCGCCGUCCGUGGGUCCCCCGCCGUCGGGGGGAGCCUGUGCCCGCCCCCGCCGCAGCCCUUGGCCGGUUCCGCGCUGCCCCAGAGUGCCCGGCCUCGGUACCUGCGAGACCCUCGCCCCGGCACGACCGGAGCGGGAACCUCGCUGCUCGUCCCGCCAGAUACACGACACAAACAGGCUCCGGUGCGGCUCUGGCCCGCAGCCAGUCG
Pseudopipra pipra is the source of this 822-nucleotide long non-coding RNA. RefSeq lists it as uncharacterized. The record is from RefSeq and is a predicted model, not a curated record. The transcript is spliced from 4 exons. NCBI's taxonomy places the organism in Eukaryota, Metazoa, Chordata, Aves, Passeriformes, Pipridae.